GCGAACGCUGGCGGCAGGCUUAACACAUGCAAGUCGAGCGGGCCCUUCGGGGUCAGCGGCAGACGGGUGAGUAACACGUGGGAACGUACCCUUUGGUUCGGAAUAACGCUGGGAAACUAGCGCUAAUACCGGAUACGCCCUUUUGGGGAAAGGCUUGCUGCCGAAGGAUCGGCCCGCGUCUGAUUAGCUAGUUGGUGGGGUAAUAGCCUACCAAGGCGACGAUCAGUAGCUGGCCUGAGAGGAUGAUCAGCCACACUGGGACUGAGACACGGCCCAGACUCCUACGGGAGGCAGCAGUGGGGAAUAUUGGACAAUGGGCGCAAGCCUGAUCCAGCCAUGCCGCGUGAGUGAUGAAGGCCUUAGGGUUGUAAAGCUCUUUUGUCCGGGACGAUAAUGACGGUACCGGAAGAAUAAGCCCCGGCUAACUUCGUG
Molecule: ribosomal RNA, 432 nt
Filed under: uncultured bacterium
Lineage: Bacteria
Description: partial 16S ribosomal RNA
Rfam family: Bacterial small subunit ribosomal RNA
Source: RNAcentral